AGACUCUUAACCCAAUGAUUUGUUUAUCCACACUGGUCUCCUUGCUGUUCAAACAUGCCAGGAAAACUCUCACUUCCGGGCCAUUGUACUGGCUGUUACUUCAGUCUGAAAAGCUUUGCCUUUCAAUGCUCUGGAGUGGAUGAUUUUCAAAAAUUGUUGAUGGCCAAUAAAAUGAGAUAGAAUAACCAAGUACCUGAAAAGUAAAGUGAAGAAUUAUGACAACCAUCUGGAUAUUUCAGCCUUGUGAACUCCAAUGGUGAGCUCCUGUCAACCAGUGAAACGUGUCUGUAUCCCUGCACCCAGAACAGUGCCUGGCAAACAGGGGGCCCUGUGGUAAGCGCUGGCCUGGCCGCCCAGAUCCCCCUUCAGGAAUGAAGACUGCUGGGAGUGCUGCUAAAAGACAGGCCUCACCUGUCAGCCCUUGCUGGGGAUUGCCUCCCCGUCUGCAACCAGUGACUGAUUCAUGCAGGGGUAUAAAGGCUGGAUGCCUUGUCCCAACUAGACACAACUCUGAGGGACCACCCUACAUCCCAGAACUUUCCAUGGAGUUGGCUGACACGUUCAAUGAGACUUCAUCAGAGCUCAACUCUGCCCAACUUGGCUUCCUUCCCUUCUCUCCUACAGGGUCAAUUUCAAAAGUACUCGCUAUCUAACAUACUGCACACUAAUAUCCAUCUCGUCUGCUUCCCAGGGAACCCUAACUGAAAUGGUGUCAGGCGGACACUAAGAAAAUAGAUGCCAAGAUGUGAAUUUGGAGGUGGAUCAUUUGCCAGCUGGCUGGUAAUAGGGACCUCAUUGCUGACAGAUGUGGAGCAAGAGAGUCCCUUACACUAGAUAGUGGUUCGAUUGUUAAGACUUUUCCUGGUGAUGAACCAGGAUUGUUUACUGGUGAAAAUAAAUGCAUUUUUUGGUACAUUGUAUGGACAUUUGAAAAGUAUGGGAGGAAUAGUAUCUAUAAAGACUUUAGAAUUGGAUGGCUAUUGCUAAGCUCAAUUGACACUGAGGGAAAAUAUAUAUAUAUAUUUAAAGCCAAAAGUGAUUUCUCAGCAAUUAAAACCAAGCUUGAAAGCCAAGGGGCUUCCUUGGUAACAUAAAAAGCAGCAGGAAGGCAUAGAAAGCUGAAGACCAGGCCUUAGACAGUAAAAGAAGACAAGAUCCAAAGAAUGUUAAACUCCCAAGCGAGGCUGGUCUUCUCACGUUGCUAAACAGGGAGCCCUGAUGCAUGGGACGUGGAUUUCUGGGGCGAUGCACCUGAAAAUCUUGAAUCCUAGGUACCGCAGUGUUCUAGAAUUGUUUAACAACUGGCUCUUCCAGUAUAUUAUUGGACAUACUGUUAAAUUUAUUCCACAGUAUUACUAUUUUCUCCAUCACUUCCUUUGUUUAGAUAAUCAAGCUCUGAUUUGUAGUAUUUGCCAAUUGCCAUGGGAUAAAUAACCCUACUGUGGUUCAUUUCAAGCCACCAAUGUGACAUCACUGAAAUGUGGAGUUGGGAAGAGAAGUAUUUCCUCCAAACAGAUAAUAAUAGAUGUAAAUAACUUCAAGAGUAUAGAUAUAGUAAAAUAAUUAGUAAAAUGUAGUAAAUAAAAUAGUAAAAUGUAGUAACAUAAUUAGGGAUUGAUGAGUUUUAAGUAUUUUUACCUUUGUUAUUAUUUUUAAUUUAAUCAUAAGCUUAUAUAAUUUAAUUUAAAAUAAUGGCUGUGUUUACAACAGGUUUAUAAAAUGUCUUUCUUAUUAUAAAGACAAUCUUUUCAUUACUAUUUUUAAUAUUAGAGGCAAUAGUUGCCAUC
Molecule: long non-coding RNA, 1787 nt
Organism: Choloepus didactylus (southern two-toed sloth)
Lineage: Eukaryota; Metazoa; Chordata; Mammalia; Pilosa; Megalonychidae
Exons: 4
Source: RefSeq, a predicted model, not a curated record